GGAAAUCAAGUCAAAUAAAAUUAAUUUUCGUCCAAGUUUGGUAUGUUGAGAUAAAAUACGGGCCGAGCGAUAAUACCAGAUAUUUAUGGAGUAAUACCAUUCAAGGUACCAUAUGACCAUGGUAGUAGGAUGUAUAAAUUAUAUUAAAAAUGAGUAGAAUUUUAAAUAAUUUGAGAUAAUUCUUAAUUAUGCGGGUAAUUGGUUAAUUAUCGGAUAGCGGGAUAUUGCCUAAUUAAUUAAUUAGUUGGAUAAGAUUAGAAAUCCCUACCCCAUCCCCAUGUGGCAGUAAGACAAACUUUAAAGAAAUGACUAAGAGUCAUUUCUUACUAGGUGGCAUUUAGUUACACAUUCCUACAUUUCCAAGACUUUCCACAUCAAAGACUUGUCAAUUAAAGAAAGCGAAAAACGUAGCCAUUCUUAUAAAUCCUUCAACAUUCCAUUCUCAAAACAAUUAAGAUCUUAUUUUAUCCUUAAUGCAACGCGAUUCUACAAUUUCAACAAUUCCAGUGAGAAUUUUUAGAUUUUAGCAACAAAGAAAUUUUGCGGUUCUAACGGAGUACGGUGCAAUCUUUCCACGAAUAUUAUACAGAUUUUUUCCUACUCCAGGUAUGAUAAGGCUAAGCUCUUCCUUCAUUUUGCAUGAUCUUGUCAUUACACAAGUUUGAUAACGAGGCAUAAAGAAAAAUUCAUAUCCCGGAAUAUACGUAUAUUUUUCUAGUUUUGUAAGUUACAAUAUUCUCCUUAUCGGGACUUCAUAUUCAAUUGAGUAUUGUUCUUCUUCCAGUCAAGAGAGCAGAAAAUUUAUAUAUACAAUAUUAAAGUGUUUUUAUUACCAUCGAGCUAUAAUCGAUGGGCAGGCCCAUAUUGGGAAACCUCUGAUCAGAUGAUAAGUUGUAUACCGAUCCUACUGUGGCCGAGCGCCUAUGAGCGAGCCUAGUUGGUCGAGAUACAGAGCCUAGUAUGGUUGAGCACCUAUGAGCUAGCCUACUACGGUAGAGCAAUUAUAUAUAUAUAUAUAUAUAUACCGAGCCCUAUAGGGUCGAACAACUAUUUUAGUCAUUAUAUUGAGAGACCUGAGUCAGUAUCAGCAGGUAAGCAUAUCUUCAAAUUAUCUUUGACUUCCAACUACUUGCAGUUAUUAUAUUAUCAGUUCAGUUUCAGCUUUCAAUAUAUUGCCUUACAUACUCGGUACAUUAUUUCAUACUGACGUCCCUUUUCUGGGGCCGCUGCAUUUCAUGCGUUCAAGGUCAGACAAACAGACGGGUAGGCCUCUUUAUUAAGUGUUUCCCAAGUUCAGCUUGAUCGGUAAGCUCCAUGCCUUUCGGAGUUUAUGUGUCUACAGCCUUAUGUACAUCUUGUAUAUAUACGUAUAUAUGUUAUGAGUAGGUCGGAGAGCUGUUCCGAUCACAGUAUAUCCAUCAGUAAAGGCUUGUAGACAUAUUGUGUUAGUUAGUGUAGUAUGUUGGGCUUUCAGGCCUUGUAUGUAUAUUUGGUUGGUUUGUCAGCUAUAAUAAUUAUGACGGCCUUGUCGGCCAAGUUUUAUAUUAACAUUUAGUCGGCAUUCGCAGUCAUCUUGCAAUGUCGCUGAUAGCCAAAGUAUGACAUCAUAUGUUCAGAGUCCCUUAGUUGCAAGUUGGUACACAAAUAUAGGUGAGGCACUGGGUGCCGGUCUCGCCCCCCAAGUUCGGGGCGUGACAAGAGCUGUCAAUUGGAUAAGAAACUGAAGAGUCCAAAGAAGUAGAAGUAGAUGCGCAACUGACUUGCAACCAAUAAGAUCAGAUCGAUCAAGAAUAUCUCGAGCAUACUUAGCUUGAGAAAGAUGAAGACCUGUAGAAGUGCGAGAAAUACGAACUCCUAGAAAAAAAUGAAGAUCUCCAAGAUCAUUAAUAGAAAACGCAGCAUGUAGCAUGUUAGUAAACCAUGAUAACAACGAAGAAUCUGACCCUGUAAGGAUAAUAUCAUCCACAUAAAGGGGAAGAUAUAAAUAUCGUUCUCCAGAUUUAUAAACAAAUAAGGAGCUAUCGCCUUGACUGUUAGAAAAUCCAUGAGAGAUAAGAAAGUGGCCAAAGCGAGCAAACCAAGACCCAGGAGCCUGCUUAAGACCAUAGAGAGCCUUAUGAGUCUUACCAAUAUGAUGGGGAUAGUGAGAAUCCUGAAAGCUUUGUGGCUGCUCCAUAUAAACAGUCCUAGUUAGUAAACCAUUAAGAAAUGCAUUUUUAAUGUCAAACUGACGAAUAUGCCAUCCACGAGAUAAGGAAAUAGAAAGAACCAGUCUAACAGUAGCAGGACAAACCACCGAACUAAAUGUCUCACCAUAGUCCAUACCAUAAGACGGUGUAUAUCCCUUAGCUACUAAACGUGCCUUACAACGAUCAAGAGAUCCAUCAAUUUUUUGCUUAACUCGAUAUACCCAUUUACAACCAACCACAACGAUAUUUGGAGGGCUAGGAAUAAGAGACCAUGUACAAUUAGCUAGAAGAGCAUUAAACUCAUCAUCCAUAGCAUCACGCCGACGAGAACCCUUAACCGCAGAACUAUAACAAGAUGGAUCAACAGAUAAUUAAAAUAAAGACUGAGCAAGUAAAGCAUACUUCUAACUAGGUUUGACAACACCAACUUUUGACCUGGUAACCAUAUGAUGAGAAGAAGGUGGCAAUAAUGAAGUUGGAGGCGCAGAGGAAAUUGAUGUAGAAUGAUUAGGAGAUAUAGGUAUAGAUAGUGUGGAACUAGACGAAGAUAGUAGGGAAGAACUCUUAGGAGUAAUAGAAGAAUGGUCAAGCAAAACCUAAGACGUAUGAGGAUCAAAAACAUCUUAAGAGGGAGCACUAGAGUGUACUGCAGUAGGUGAUACAAUGCGAGAGGACUAAGGCAAUGAGGUAUGACAAGUGAGGAAGAAAAAUUAAGGAAAGAAGGAAGAAAAUGUGGUGUGGUACAGGGAAAGCAAUGUUCGACAAACCGAACAAAUUGAAUUGUAUAAACACAUUGAAUAUCAAGACAGAGUCAUCGAUAUCCUUUGUGAUUGGAACUAUAUCUAAUAAAGAUACAUGGAAUGAGGGAUUAUCUAGUUUGUGAAUUCGAUAAGGGCGCACAUUAGGGUAACAGAGGCAUCCAAAUGGACGUAGAAUAAAGUAGAUGGGAUCAAUCCCAAAAAGAAUACGAAAGGGAGAGGAAUAAUUGAAUAAGGGAGUCGGUGGCCGAUUUAUCAAGUGUGUGGCUGUUUGAAAAGCCUCAUCCCAAAGAUUUAGCGGAGCUUUGACAUGAUAAAUGAGAGUACGAGCCAUAUCAGCGAAAUGACGAUAUUUGCGAUUAGCUACACCAUUUUGUUAUGGUGUGUGAGGACAAGAGUGCUGAAAAAUAAUACCAUUACUAGAAAGAAAUGUUAGAAAUUAUGCACUAGCGAAUUCCACCAUCAGAACGAAAAUAUUUGAUAGAAGUAGAAAAUUGCUUUUCCACAAGAGCUUUAAAUGCACAAAAGCAAUAAAAAACUUCACUUUUAUUCCGCAAUGGAUAUAACCAUAAAUACUUGGAGAAGUCAUCAAUAAAAAUAACAUAAUAUCAAAAUCAAGUAAUAGAGGGAACAAGUGACAUCCAUACAUCAAAGUGAAUCAACUUUAACACAUGAAAAAGAAGUACUAAUAGAAAAUGGUAAUGUAGAAUGAUUAGAAGUCAAACAAGAAUUACAUAAAGAUUGACCCAAGGUUUGUAUAUUUAAAUAAAUAAAAUUAGUAGACCUAAAUGAUACAAGGACUCUAGAUCCUAGUUGACCAAGUCAAGCAUGCCAAAUUGAUGCAGGAACCAAGGAGACAGCUAGGGCUUCUGAUGAAGAGGAAGACAGCAGGUUGAAAAAAUGGAUAGAGAGGCCCAUCAUUGUGGUGUUUGUGGAGGAUUUUCCCCGUAUGCAAAUCCUUCACAACAAAACCCCCAAAAAAAUUCAAUUGAUCAAAUAUUAUCUUUGGUAAACUGACGAAAAGAAAAUAACUUUUACGAAGUAGUUGAACACAUAAGACAGAGGGCAAAGAAAAAGUAUGUGACAAUAUGGUCAAGGAGGAAGAACCAAUAGAAUGAAUAGGAACUGAUUCAGCAUUGCCAACAAGUAUAGAAUUAUUAAAAGUAGGAGUAGGAGAAGAAAUAUUACCUUGUUCAAAAGAUAUGUCUGAGGUCGCUCCUGAAUUCAAGUACCAAUUCUUGUCAAUCGGGGAAUGGAGAGAUAAGGUUGUCAAGUGUGCGUAAGCUGCGGUGGGACAAAAUGAAUAAUUAUGACGAUGCGGUCAAGAGAUAGUUAUAUGGCCAGUCCAUAGGAGUAGUCGGGUUCGACAUGGCAAAUGGAGGCAUCUGAAUAGGAGAAGCACCAAGAACACCCUUAUCGUAUCCAUGAGUAACUAUGAAUUGUUGCCGAACAAUAUGCUGAUAAGGACCUCCAUAAGAAUGUUGAAAAGGAGAACCACGACCUCGUCAACCAGAGCCACGACCAUGACCAAAUUGCCUAUGAUGAUAGUUUCACUAACGACCAAAGUUACCACGACCAGAAGAUGGAUCAACGGGAGAAUAUGAAGUAACAUCAGAAGAUAAACCAGCUAACAAAGCGGUAGGCAUAAGAGCAGAGGCCACAUCAUUUGUAGGUAGAGUGCGCACAUCGUGGGUAAUGAGCAUAGUCCACAACUCUGCAAAAGUUAGAGGAGGGCGUAUAUUUGAAGCCAUAACAAUAAAUGAUUCAUAAGAGACAAGAAAGCCAUUCAAAACACAAUGUACUAAUUCAGGUCCACACCAUGGCUGAUAGAAUGAAGGCAAUUGGCAAAUUCACAUAUCUUUGCCAUGUACGAAUCAAUAGAUAAGUCUCCUUUUUUAAAUGUCUGAAGACUAUGUUUGUACUGUAUCUCACGGGCAAUAUACUAAUGAAGAAAAUGUAUUUUAAGUCUAGACCAAGCAUCAACAGUAGUAGAGAAAUCAUAGAGUAAAGGAAUGAGAUCAAAAUGUAUAGUAGCAUGAAUCCAAGUAAUAAUAAGACGGUCAACCUUACGCCACAUUAGAACCAUCAAUAUAGCAAAAGAGAUCAUACAUCUCCAACACCAGUUGAAGUAAGUGAGUACACUUCAAAUAAUAAGUUUGGUGCAACGUGUCAGGGACAAAAUCC
Molecule: long non-coding RNA, 5131 nt
Filed under: Nicotiana tabacum (common tobacco)
Lineage: Eukaryota; Viridiplantae; Streptophyta; Magnoliopsida; Solanales; Solanaceae
Description: long non-coding RNA (NTAB_LNC013385)
Source: RNAcentral